This 127-nucleotide small RNA is filed under the name Chimaeribacter californicus. RNAcentral's name for it is "Yersiniaceae bacterium 2015Iso6 RtT sRNA". It matches the Rfam family "RtT RNA". From Rfam's summary of the family: This family represents a bacterial cis-regulatory element known as RtT RNA. The exact function of RtT is unknown although it is thought that it may be involved in changing the cellular response in relation to amino acid starvation. Lineage: Bacteria; Pseudomonadati; Pseudomonadota; Gammaproteobacteria; Enterobacterales; Yersiniaceae. The record is from RNAcentral.
AUGUUGCAGUUUCGGGGAAGGGUGAGAACCUUUGACAAGGUUCGAGCGAGCGAAAGCGAGCAACGUUGCGCAGCAACGGCCCGAAGGGUGAGGAACGAAGUGACGAAUAAUCCUUCCCCCACCACCA